This 88-nucleotide transfer RNA is filed under the name Bacillota bacterium. Its description in RNAcentral is "Firmicutes bacterium (anaerobic digester metagenome) tRNA-Leu". It matches the Rfam family "tRNA". Rfam says of the family: Transfer RNA (tRNA) molecules are approximately 80 nucleotides in length. Their secondary structure includes four short double-helical elements and three loops (D, anti-codon, and T loops). Further hydrogen bonds mediate the characteristic L-shaped molecular structure. tRNAs have two regions of fundamental functional importance: the anti-codon, which is responsible for specific mRNA codon recognition, and the 3' end, to which the tRNAs corresponding amino acid is attached (by aminoacyl-tRNA synthetases). tRNAs cope with the degeneracy of the genetic code in two manners: having more than one tRNA (with a specific anti-codon) for a particular amino acid; and 'wobble' base-pairing, i.e. permitting non-standard base-pairing at the 3rd anti-codon position. The record is from RNAcentral. Lineage: Bacteria; Bacillati; Bacillota. RNAcentral also lists the same sequence under 1 other name.
GCCGAAGUGGCGGAAAUGGCAGACGCGCUAGAUUCAGGGUCUAGUGGCCAUUACGGCCGUCGGGGUUCAAAUCCCCGCUUCGGCACCA